Molecule: ribosomal RNA, 465 nt
Filed under: Vreelandella stevensii
Lineage: Bacteria; Pseudomonadati; Pseudomonadota; Gammaproteobacteria; Oceanospirillales; Halomonadaceae
Description: partial 16S ribosomal RNA
Rfam family: Bacterial small subunit ribosomal RNA
Source: RNAcentral
ACUACGGGUGGCAGCAGUGGGGAAUAUUGGACAAUGGGCGAAAGCCUGAUCCAGCCAUGCCGCGUGUGUGAAGAAGGCCUUCGGGUUGUAAAGCACUUUCAGUGGGGAAGAAAGCCUUGGGGCUAAUACCCUCGAGGAAGGACAUCACCCACAGAAGAAGCACCGGCUAACUCCGUGCCAGCAGCCGCGGUAAUACGGAGGGUACGAGCGUUAAUCGGAAUUACUGGGCGUAAAGCGCGCGUAGGCGGUCUGAUAAGCCGGUUGUGAAAGCCCCGGGCUCAACCUGGGAACGGCAUCCGGAACUGUCAGGCUAGAGGGCAGGAGAGGAAGGUAGAAUUCCCGGUGUAGCGGUGAAAUGCGUAGAGAUCGGGAGGAAUACCAGUGGCGAAGGCGGCCUUCUGGACUGACACUGACGCUGAGGUGCGAAAGCGUGGGUAGCAAACAGGAUUAGAUACCCUGGUAGUC